GUUUCCAGAAUUUGCGAGAAAAAUAUGAUCUGGGGACACAUGACCUUUACAGAUAUCUAUAACUAAGAGAUUAUUACAGAAAGGAAAUCCAGGUUGACCCCUCCAGGGAAGUGAACAGUGUGAUCCAAAUCAUUAUCAAAGCAUAUAAGGAAAGAAAAGUGAGUAAUUUCAGCA
This is a long non-coding RNA of Sphaeramia orbicularis (orbiculate cardinalfish), 174 nucleotides long. RefSeq lists it as uncharacterized. The transcript is spliced from 3 exons. The record is from RefSeq and is a predicted model, not a curated record. NCBI's taxonomy places the organism in Eukaryota, Metazoa, Chordata, Actinopteri, Kurtiformes, Apogonidae.